This 468-nucleotide ribosomal RNA is filed under the name uncultured bacterium. RNAcentral's name for it is "partial 16S ribosomal RNA". It matches the Rfam family "Bacterial small subunit ribosomal RNA", at positions 28 to 507 of the family's 1533-position model. The record is from RNAcentral.
GACGAACGCUGGCGUCGUGCUUAACACAUGCAAGUCGAACGGAAAGGCCCUGCUUUUGUGGGGUGCUCGAGUGGCUAACGGGUGCGUAACACGUGAGUAGCCUGCCCUUGACUUUGGGAUAACUUCAGGAAACUGGGGCUAAUACCGGAUAGGAGCUCCUGCUGCAUGGUGGGGGUUGGAAAGUUUCGGCGGUUGGGGAUGGACUCGCGGCUUAUAAGCUUGUUGGUGGGGUAGUGGCUUACCAAGGCUUUGACGGGUAGCCGGCCUGAGAGGGUGACCGGCCACAUUGGGACGGAGGUACGGCCCAGACUCCUACGGGAGGCAGCAGUGGGGAAUAUUGCACAAUGGGCGGAAGCCUGAUGCAGAAACGCCGCGUGCGGGAUGACGGCCUUCGGGUUGUAAACCGCUUUCGCCUGUGACGAAGCGUGAGUGACGGUAAUGGGUAAAGAAGCACCGGCUAACUACGUG